CCGACUCCUUUAAAAAAGGGUUUGUUUGAUUUAUUUUUGAGACAAGUCUCUCUUACAUAGCUCUGGCUGUCCCGGGAUUCACUAUGUAAAAUAGGUUGUCCUGAAGCACAGAGAGCCAUAUAGCAUAAACCUGGCUUUCCUACACCUGCUCUGACUCCCAAACAAAGACAGGAAGACCUUAUAUUUAUUAGAAGCUUCAGCACUUCAGCUGGGCAGAUGCUCAUCGACUCUCACCCUGUUCUAACCCAUCUGUGGCUGCCUACUACCCCCACAUGCCCCAUUGCUUGCCAACUUCAUCUUGCUCUGGCUGUUCCUGCUCCAUCAGCGUCCUCAUAGUGACUCCUCUGGUGACCUGUUUAUGCUUGGAACGCAUGCUGUCUGCAGUUGAGGCAAAGGCAGUCUCUUGCCCGGUGUCAGCCUGAAGCAAAUUCGGUGUGGAGGGUCCUCAGUGCUCAUCGUCUUUUUUGAAAUGGAAUGGAGGCUGAUGUGUCUCAUUGUCAAAGAGCGAACAAACAAACAAAACACAUUUUUAUCAAUAAAACAUUUUUAAAUGCC
Molecule: long non-coding RNA, 555 nt
Filed under: Rattus norvegicus (Norway rat)
Lineage: Eukaryota; Metazoa; Chordata; Mammalia; Rodentia; Muridae
Description: long non-coding RNA NONRATT003861
Source: RNAcentral